Molecule: ribosomal RNA, 253 nt
Filed under: uncultured bacterium
Lineage: Bacteria
Description: partial 16S ribosomal RNA
Rfam family: Bacterial small subunit ribosomal RNA
Source: RNAcentral
UACGGAGGGGGCUAGCGUUGUUCGGAAUUACUGGGCGUAAAGCGCGCGUAGGCGGACCUGCAAGUCGGGGGUGAAAGCCCGAGGCUCAACCUCGGAACUGCCUUCGAUACUGCGGGUCUCGAGUCCGGGAGAGGUGAGUGGAAUUCCUAGUGUAGAGGUGAAAUUCGUAGAUAUUAGGAAGAACACCAGUGGCGAAGGCGGCUCACUGGUCCGGUACUGACGCUGAGGCGCGAAAGCGUGGGGAGCAAACAGG